This 468-nucleotide ribosomal RNA is filed under the name uncultured bacterium. Its description in RNAcentral is "partial 16S ribosomal RNA". It matches the Rfam family "Bacterial small subunit ribosomal RNA", at positions 28 to 507 of the family's 1533-position model. The record is from RNAcentral.
GACGAACGCUGGCGGCGUGCUUAACACAUGCAAGUCGAACGGAAAGGCCCUGCUUUUGUGGGGUGCUCGAGUGGCGAACGGGUGAGUAACACGUGAGUAACCUGCCCUUGACUUUGGGAUCACUUCAGGAAACUGGGGCUAAUACCGGAUAGGAGCUCCUGCUGCAUGGUGGGGGUUGGAAAGUUUCGGCGGUUGGGGAUGGACUCGCGGCUUAUCAGCUUGUUGGUGGGGUAGUGGCUUACCAAGGCUUUGACGGGUAGCCGGCCUGAGAGGGUGACCGGCCACAUUGGGACUGAGAUAAGGCCCAGACUCCGACGGGAGGCAGCAGUGGGGAAUAGUGCACAAUGGGCGGAAGCCUGAUGCAGCAACGCCGCGUGCGGGAUGACGGCAAUCGGGUUGUAAACCGCUUUCGCCUGUGACGAAGCGUGAGUGACGGUAAUGGGUAAAGAAGCACCGGCUAACUACGUG